UCCGAGUUGUAAUUUGUAGAGGAUGCUUUUGGUGAGGUGCCUUCCGAGUUCCCUGGAACGGGACGCCAUAGAGGGUGAGAGCCCCGUCUGGUUGGACACCGAGCCUCUGUAAAGCUCCUUCGACGAGUCGAGUAGUUUGGGAAUGCUGCUCUAAAUGGGAGGUAUAUGUCUUCUAAAGCUAAAUACCGGCCAGAGACCGAUAGCGCACAAGUAGAGUGAUCGAAAGAUGAAAAGCACUUUGAAAAGAGAGUUAAAAAGUACGUGAAAUUGUUGAAAGGGAAGCGCUUAUGACCAGACUUGGGCUUGGUUGAUCAUCCUGGGUUCUCCCUGGUGCACUCUUCCAGUUCAGGCCAGCAUCAGUUCGCUGCGGGGGAUAAAAGUUUUGGGAAUGUGGCUCCCUCGGGAGUGUUAUAGCCCAUUGCAUAAUACCCUGCUCCGGACUGAGGUUCGCGCAUCUGCAAGGAUGCUGGCGUAAUGGUCAUCAGCGACCCGUCUUGAAACACGGACCAAGGAGUCGUCUUCGUAUGCGAGUGUUCGGGUGUUAAACCCCUACGCGUAAUGAAAGUGAACGCAGGUGAGAGCUUCGGCGCAUCAUCGACCGAUCCUGAUGUUCUCGGAUGGAUUUGAGUAAGAGCAUACGGGGCCGGACCCGAAAGAAGGUGAACUAUGCCUGUAUAGGGUGAAGCCAGAGGAAACUCUGGUGGAGGCUCGCAGCGGUUCUGACGUGCAAAUCGAUCGUCAAAUAUGGGCA
Molecule: ribosomal RNA, 751 nt
Filed under: Calonectria leguminum
Lineage: Eukaryota; Fungi; Ascomycota; Sordariomycetes; Hypocreales; Nectriaceae
Description: partial large subunit ribosomal RNA
Rfam family: Eukaryotic large subunit ribosomal RNA
Source: RNAcentral